Molecule: long non-coding RNA, 581 nt
Organism: Oxyura jamaicensis (ruddy duck)
Lineage: Eukaryota; Metazoa; Chordata; Aves; Anseriformes; Anatidae
Exons: 2
Source: RefSeq, a predicted model, not a curated record
ACUGUCUGAGUGCUCAGACAGUGGAAAACAGCUUUCAACUUUUCUUAACAUUGGUCUUGCUAGCUGAGGAUAUGCUUUUCCUGAGUACCUGAAGUCUCUUGGAAAAAACAGACCUUGACUGGCGUCUCACUGAAAGUGGAUCCUAAAGACAAUGCAUGGUAUGCCAAUGCCAAAGUACAAAUCAGGGAUGAUGGCCUGGAAGACAUCAGUUUAGAUGAGCAAAGUUAUGUUUUGACUUGCAAACAUUUGAAUGACAGUUGCAUCUUAAUAACAUGCAAUAACAAAAAUGGACUGUCUGUCCAGAACCUGCAGCUGAGCAACGCUGUAUGGAUCCUCAUACAGACAUCUUCUGACACUUCCCAGAAGGCAGUUGAUGUAGGAUCCACUGGUGUCAGUGAGAACAGCAAGAGCAAGGAGAAGACAGAAGCUUACCUGAUCAAGAAAGAGUGAGCCUACCUGGUUCCCAUCUGGGAAACUUGCCCUCCUGCAACAUUCAGUACAAAGAACAUGCUCUUCCUUGUCACCUAAAGGAGACACAAGGACUAAGCUUGCUGAUGUGUUUCCCACUUCUUUGUGAAAAA